GCUUAACACAUGCAAGUCGAGGGGCAGCAUGGUCUUAGCUUGCUAAGGCCGAUGGCGACCGGCGCACGGGUGAGUAACACAUAUCCAACCUGCCGUCUACUCUUGGACAGCCUUCUGAAAGGAAGAUUAAUACAAGAUGGCAUCAUGAGUCCGCAUGUUCACAUGAUUAAAGGUAUUCCGGUAGACGAUGGGGAUGCGUUCCAUUAGAUAGUAGGCGGGGUAACGGCCCACCUAGUCUUCGAUGGAUAGGGGUUCUGAGAGGAAGGUCCCCCACAUUGGAACUGAGACACGGUCCAAACUCCUACGGGAGGCAGCAGUGAGGAAUAUUGGUCAAUGGGCGAGAGCCUGAACCAGCCAAGUAGCGUGAAGGAUGACUGCCCUAUGGGUUGUAAACUUCUUUUAUAAAGGAAUAAAGUCGGGUAUGGAUACCCGUUUGCAUGUACUUUAUGAAUAAGGAUCGGCUAACUCCGUGCCAGCAGCCGCGGUAAUACGGAGGAUCCGAGCGUUAUCCGGAUUUAUUGGGUUUAAAGGGAGCGUAGAUGGAUGUUUAAGUCAGUUGUGAAAGUUUGCGGCUCAACCGUAAAAUUGCAGUUGAUACUGGAUAUCUUGAGUGCAGUUGAGGCAGGCGGAAUUCGUGGUGUAGCGGUGAAAUGCUUAGAUAUCACGAAGAACUCCGAUUGCGAAGGCAGCCUGCUAAGCUGCAACUGACAUUGAGGCUCGAAAGUGUGGGUAUCAAACAGGAUUAGAUACCCUGGUAGUCCACACGGUAAACGAUGAAUACUCGCUGUUUGCGAUAUACAGCAAGCGGCCAAGCGAAAGCGUUAAGUAUUCCACCUGGGGAGUACGCCGGCAACGGUGAAACCCAAAGGAAUUGACGGGGGCCCGCACAAGCGGAGGAACAUGUGGUUUAAUUCGAUGAUACGCGAGGAACCUUACCCGGGCUUAAAUUGCAGAUGAAUUACGGUGAAAGCCGUAAGCCGCAAGGCAUCUGUGAAGGUGCUGCAUGGUUGUCGUCAGCUCGUGCCGUGAGGUGUCGGCUUAAGUGCCAUAACGAGCGCAACCCUUGUUGUCAGUUACUAACAGGUUCCGCUGAGGACUCUGACAAGACUGCCAUCGUAAGAUGUGAGGAAGGUGGGGAUGACGUCAAAUCAGCACGGCCCUUACGUCCGGGGCUACACACGUGUUACAAUGGGGGGUACAGAGGGCCGCUACCACGCGAGUGGAUGCCAAUCCCCAAAACCUCUCUCAGUUCGGACUGGAGUCUGCAACCCGACUCCACGAAGCUGGAUUCGCUAGUAAUCGCGCAUCAGCCACGGCGCGGUGAAUACGUUCCCGGGCCUUGUACACACCGCCCGUCAAGCCAUGGGAGCCGGGGGUACCUGAAGUGCGUAACCGCGAGGAGCGCCCUAGGGUAAAACUGGUGACUGGGGCUAAGU
RNAcentral lists this ribosomal RNA (1436 nucleotides) under uncultured organism. Its description in RNAcentral is "16S ribosomal RNA". It matches the Rfam family "Bacterial small subunit ribosomal RNA". The record is from RNAcentral.